CGGACUGUAGCGCAGCUUGGUAGCGCACCGUCAUGGGGUGUCGGGGGUCGGAGGUUCAAAUCCUCUCAUUCCGACCA
RNAcentral lists this transfer RNA (77 nucleotides) under Vibrio cholerae. RNAcentral's name for it is "tRNA-Pro". It matches the Rfam family "tRNA". From Rfam's summary of the family: Transfer RNA (tRNA) molecules are approximately 80 nucleotides in length. Their secondary structure includes four short double-helical elements and three loops (D, anti-codon, and T loops). Further hydrogen bonds mediate the characteristic L-shaped molecular structure. tRNAs have two regions of fundamental functional importance: the anti-codon, which is responsible for specific mRNA codon recognition, and the 3' end, to which the tRNAs corresponding amino acid is attached (by aminoacyl-tRNA synthetases). tRNAs cope with the degeneracy of the genetic code in two manners: having more than one tRNA (with a specific anti-codon) for a particular amino acid; and 'wobble' base-pairing, i.e. permitting non-standard base-pairing at the 3rd anti-codon position. The record is from RNAcentral. Lineage: Bacteria; Pseudomonadati; Pseudomonadota; Gammaproteobacteria; Vibrionales; Vibrionaceae.